CUUUGAAAAACAACCGGCGGCCGGUGCUCCGACCCCUGCAAGUGUGAGGACCCCUGUUCCUCCCUUGCCUGGGCAUCACUGAAUUAGGCACCUUCGCUUUUGGAGAAUUCCUCCUUUAUGAUUCCUUCUUUAUUCUCCCUGUUUCAUCCACAUAAUAUGCUUCUGUUACCGCAAAUAUCGAUUCCCGGACACACAGAUGCAGAAGUAGGAUGUUGCUGAGAUGUCUGUGUUGCUGUGAUUCACUCGAUUCUCUGGGAAUGAGUUUCAGGUGUGCAUUAUGGCAAUUCAACACUUCCAUACAACACCGGGUGCCCAUCACAAGUGUGCUCCUUAAUCCCCAUCACUCAUGUAACCUAUCCCCCCACCCUAGGAUAUGACCUCACAGUCGAGUGGCCAUAAUGGAAGUGGGGCCUGAAGGGGGCAGAGCGGGGAGUGAACAGUCAUCUGUUUGUCAAGAGACAAGGUAAGCGGGCCUUUCCCUCAGCAGUGAGAAGACCCCGAGCGCUGCAACACCUUCCCGCGAAAUGUGCUCGUCUGGAAACUGAUAUCCACGAAGAGUUUCUACCUGGAAACAAAGUACGCAGCCUAAACCCAACCUGUGCUUCGGCAAGGGAAACCACGCCCCGUGGUUGUGCCGACCUUCCAGGAGCAGAGGCCGAAAGGCCCAGCGAAUGAACCGGCCCGGGUCUCGCUGUGGCCGGAGUGUGUGAGUCCUCUCAACUUUCACAUGUUAAAAUCUUGACCCCUAAAUUGCUGGUAUUGGGGGCUGGAGCCUUUGAUCAGAUCACGAUGGGAAUCAUCAAGGCAGAUUCACGCUCUUAUUAAAGAAACUCCAGAGGGCUUGCUCGCUCAUUCACCCGGGGAACAUAGUGAGCCAUCGGCCUCUGCGAUCCCGAAGAGGGCUCCCACCAGAAUCCAAGUGUGUUGGCUCCCGGAUCUUGCACUUUGAAGCUUCUAGAACUGUAGGAAAUAAAUAUUUGUUGUAUAUAAUCCGCCUAAUCUAUGGUAUUUUGUGAUAGCAACCCAAACAGACUAAUCCUAAAAAAAAUAAAAAAAAUGAGCUCGACCAGAAGAAAAGGCAGCCACAGUAGGAAACCUAG
Long non-coding RNA from Canis lupus familiaris (dog), 1100 nucleotides. RefSeq lists it as uncharacterized. NCBI's taxonomy places the organism in Eukaryota, Metazoa, Chordata, Mammalia, Carnivora, Canidae. The record is from RefSeq and is a predicted model, not a curated record. The transcript has 5 exons.